UACGUAGGGGCGAGCGUUGUCCGGAAUUAUUGGGCGUAAAGGGCGCGCAGGCGGUCUUCUAAGUCUGAUGUGAAAGCCCACGGCUUAACCGUGGAGGGUCAUUGGAAACUGGAGGACUUGAGUACAGAAGAGGAGAGUGGAAUUCCACGUGGAGCGGUGAAAUGCGUAGAGAUGUGGAGGAACACCAGUGGCGAAGGCGACUCUCUGGACUGUAACUGACGCUGAGGCACGAAAGCGUGGGGAGCAAACAGGAUUAGAUACCCGCGUAGU
RNAcentral lists this ribosomal RNA (270 nucleotides) under uncultured prokaryote. RNAcentral's name for it is "partial 16S ribosomal RNA". It matches the Rfam family "Bacterial small subunit ribosomal RNA", at positions 524 to 794 of the family's 1533-position model. The record is from RNAcentral.